This 75-nucleotide transfer RNA is filed under the name Leucobacter komagatae. Its description in RNAcentral is "tRNA-Ile". It matches the Rfam family "tRNA". Rfam says of the family: Transfer RNA (tRNA) molecules are approximately 80 nucleotides in length. RNAcentral also lists the same sequence under 12 other names. Lineage: Bacteria; Bacillati; Actinomycetota; Actinomycetes; Micrococcales; Microbacteriaceae. The record is from RNAcentral.
GGGGCUAUAGCUCAGGUGGUUAGAGCGCUUCACUGAUAAUGAAGAGGUCCCAGGUUCAAGUCCUGGUAGCCCCAC